Long non-coding RNA from Notolabrus celidotus (New Zealand spotty), 278 nucleotides. RefSeq lists it as uncharacterized. The transcript has 2 exons. Lineage: Eukaryota; Metazoa; Chordata; Actinopteri; Labriformes; Labridae. The record is from RefSeq and is a predicted model, not a curated record.
CCCCCUUUUCCCUUCAAACCUGCCAUGUGCCAGUGACUCCUUUGUCUGAAUGUUUGUGCCAUGUGGUUUCGAAGAAUUACCUGGAGUGGAUGCAUUACUGAUCAAAAAACAUCCACAUCCAAAUCCACUCCUUUGUCAGCAUAGAGCUGAUCCUUUCUUUUGAAAAUAAACCUUCAAAACCUGCCCUGGAUCCUGUGUGUUUGACUGCACACCACACCAGUAUCAAGAGGAAACAAACAUUUUACAAUAUAUAAAAAUUAAAGUAAAAAAUAAUCCCA